Molecule: ribosomal RNA, 392 nt
Filed under: uncultured Alphaproteobacteria bacterium
Lineage: Bacteria; Pseudomonadati; Pseudomonadota; Alphaproteobacteria
Description: bacterial SSU rRNA
Rfam family: Bacterial small subunit ribosomal RNA
Source: RNAcentral
GAGUUUGAUCUUGGCUCAGAACGAACGCUGGCGGCAUGCCUAACACAUGCAAGUCGAACGCCCUGGGCAACUGGGGAGUGGCGGACGGGUGAGUAACGCGUGGGGACCUGCCUCGAAGUUCGGAAUAACCGCGGGAAACUGCGGCUAAUACCGGAUGUGGCCUGAGGGCCAAAGGGGAAACUCGCUUCGAGAGGGGCCCGCGUCCGAUUAGCUAGUUGGCGGGGUAACGGCCCACCAAGGCGACGAUCGGUAGCUGGUCUGAGAGGAUGAUCAGCCACACUGGGACUGAGACACGGCCCAGACUCCUACGGGAGGCAGCAGUGGGGAAUAUUGGACAAUGGGGGCAACCCUGAUCCAGCAAUGCCGCGUGAGUGAUGAAGGCCUUCGGUUGU